This 468-nucleotide ribosomal RNA is filed under the name uncultured bacterium. RNAcentral's name for it is "partial 16S ribosomal RNA". It matches the Rfam family "Bacterial small subunit ribosomal RNA", at positions 28 to 507 of the family's 1533-position model. The record is from RNAcentral.
GACGAACGCUGGCGGCGUGCUUAACACAUGCAAGUCGAACGGAAAGGCCCUGCUUUUGUGGGGUGCUCGAGUGGCGAACGGGUGAGUAACACGUGAGUAACCUGCCCUUGACUUUGGGAUAACUUCAGGAAACUGGGGCUAAUACCGGAUAGGAGCUCCUGCUGCAUGGUGGGGGUUGGAAAGUUUCGGCGGUUGGGGAUGGACUCGCGGCUUAUCAGCUUGUUGGUGGGGUAGUGGCUUACCAAGGCUUUGACGGGUAGCCGGCCUGAGAGGGUGACCGGCCACAUUGGGACUGAGAUACGGCCCAGACUCCUACGGGAGGCAGCAGUGGGGAAUAUUGCACAAUGGGCGGAGGCCUGAUACAGCAACGCCGCGUGCGGGAUGACGGCCUUCGGGUUGUAAACCGCUUUCGCCUGUGACGAAGCGUGAGUGACGGUAAUGGGUAAAGAAGCACCGGCUAACUACGUG